AAGUCGUAACAAGGUUUCCGUAGGUGAACCUGCGGAAGAAUCAUUACCGAGUGCGGGCCCUCUGGGUCCAACCUCCCACCCGUGUUUAUCGUACCUUGUUGCUUCGGCGGGCCCGCCGUCAGGCCGCCGGGGGCUCUAUGCCCCGGGCCCGCGCCCGCCGAGGACACCAUUGAACGCUGUCUGAAGAUUGCAGUCUGAGCGAUUAGCGAAAUUAGUUAAAACUUUCAACAACGGAUCUCUUGGUUCCGGCAUCGAUGAAGAACGCAGCGAAAUGCGAUAAGUAAUGUGAAUUGCAGAAUUCAGUGAAUCAUCGAGUCUUUGAACGCACAUUGCGCCCCCUGGUAUUCCGGGGGGCAUGCCUGUCCGAGCGUCAUUGCUGCCCUCAAGCACGGCUUGUUGUUGGGUCGACGUCCCCCCGGGGACGGGCCCGAAAGGCAGCGGCGGCAUCGCGUCCGGUCCUCGAGCGUAUGGGGCUUCGUCACCCGCUCUUGUAGGCCCGGCCGGCGCCCGCCGACCCCCAACCAAUUUUCUCAGGUUGACCUCGGAUCAGGUAGGGAUACCCGCUGAACUUAA
This 573-nucleotide ribosomal RNA is filed under the name uncultured fungus. RNAcentral's name for it is "eukaryotic LSU rRNA". The stretch from base 220 to 373 matches the Rfam family "5.8S ribosomal RNA". Lineage: Eukaryota; Fungi. The record is from RNAcentral.